This 468-nucleotide ribosomal RNA is filed under the name uncultured bacterium. RNAcentral describes it as "partial 16S ribosomal RNA". It matches the Rfam family "Bacterial small subunit ribosomal RNA", at positions 28 to 507 of the family's 1533-position model. The record is from RNAcentral.
GACGAACGCUGGCGGCGUGCUUAACACAUGCAAGUCGAACGGAAAGGCCCUGCUUUUGUGGGGUGCUCGAGUGGCGAACGGGUGAGUAACACGUGAGUAACCUGCCCUUGACUUUGGGAUAACUUCAGGAAACUGGGGCUAAUACCGGAUAGGAGCUCCUGCUGCAUGGUGGGGGUUGGAAAGUUUCGGCGGUUGGGGAUGGACUCGCGGCUUAUCAGCUUGUUGGUGGGGUAGUGGCUUACCCAGGCUUUGACGGGUCGCCGGCCUGAGAGGGUGACCGGCCACAUUGGGACUGAGAUACGGCCCAGACUCCUACGGGAGGCAGCAGUGGGGAAUAUUGCACAAUGGGCGGAAGCCUGAUGCAGCAACGCCGCGUGCGGGAUGACGGCCUUCGGGUUGUAAACCGCUUUCGCCUGUGACGAAGCGUGAGUGACGGUAAUGGGUAAAGAAGCACCGGCUAACUACGUG